ACACCGGACUCCCUGGUCCAUAAAGACCUUUCCAAUACAGAGGAGGACUUCUCCGGCCAGUCCAGCCGCGUGUCCCCAAGCCCCACCACCUACCUCAUGUUCCGGGACAAGAGCUGCUCUCUCUGGCAGAACUCGCAGCAGUCCUCCGACAGCUCUGCCCCUACCACGCCGCAGUGCCAUAAGCGUCACCGGCACUGCCCAGUCGUCGUGUCAGAGGCCACCAUCGUGGGCAUCUGCAAGACCAGGCAGAUCUGGCCCAACGAUGCGGAGGGCACCUUCCAUGGAGACGCAGGUAAGUUCCUCACACCUCACAGCCUGGCCUCUCACCAGCCUCAGGGC
RNAcentral lists this long non-coding RNA (339 nucleotides) under Homo sapiens (human). RNAcentral describes it as "non-protein coding lnc-RSPH14-2:1". Lineage: Eukaryota; Metazoa; Chordata; Mammalia; Primates; Hominidae. The record is from RNAcentral.